UGGGGAAUAUUGCACAAUGGGCGCAAGCCUGAUGCAGCAACGCCGCGUGAACGAUGAAGGUCUUCGGAUCGUAAAGUUCUGUUGCAGGGGAAGAUAAUGACGGUACCCUGGGAGGAAGCCCCGGCUAACUACGUGCCAGCAGCCGCGGUAUUACGUAGGGGGCUAGCGUUAUCCGGAUUUACUGGGCGUAAAGGGUGCGUAGGUGGUCUUUCAAGUCGGUGGUUAAAGGCUACGGCUCAACCGUAGUUAGCCUCCGAAACUGGAAGACUUGAGUGCAGGAGAGGAAAGUGGAAUUCCCAGUGUAGCGGUGAAAUGCGUAGAUAUUGGGAGGAACACCAGUAGCGAAGGCGGCUUUCUGGACUGCAACUGACACUGAGGCACGAAAGCGUGGGUAGCAAACAGG
Molecule: ribosomal RNA, 403 nt
Filed under: Verrucomicrobiota bacterium
Lineage: Bacteria; Pseudomonadati; Verrucomicrobiota
Description: Verrucomicrobia bacterium partial 16S ribosomal RNA
Rfam family: Bacterial small subunit ribosomal RNA
Source: RNAcentral